RNAcentral lists this ribosomal RNA (780 nucleotides) under uncultured bacterium. RNAcentral describes it as "bacterial SSU rRNA". It matches the Rfam family "Bacterial small subunit ribosomal RNA", at positions 554 to 1333 of the family's 1533-position model. The record is from RNAcentral.
CUGGGCGUAAAGCGCGCGUAGGCGGUUUGUUAAGUCGGAUGUGAAAUCCCCGGGCUCAACCUGGGAAUUGCAUUCGAUACUGGCAAGCUAGAGUAUGGGAGAGGAAGGUAGAAUUCCAGGUGUAGCGGUGAAAUGCGUAGAGAUCUGGAGGAAUACCGAUGGCGAAGGCAGCCUUCUGGCCUAAUACUGACGCUGAGGUGCGAAAGCAUGGGGAGCAAACAGGAUUAGAUACCCUGGUAGUCCAUGCCGUAAACGAUGUCAACUAGCCGUUGGGGGAUUUGAUCCUUUAGUGGCGCAGCUAACGCGAUAAGUUGACCGCCUGGGGAGUACGGUCGCAAGACUAAAACUCAAAUGAAUUGACGGGGGCCCGCACAAGCGGUGGAGCAUGUGGUUUAAUUCGAUGCAACGCGAAGAACCUUACCUGGUCUUGACAUAGUGAGAAUCUUUCAGAGAUGAGAGAGUGCCUUCGGGAAUUCACAUACAGGUGCUGCAUGGCUGUCGUCAGCUCGUGUCGUGAGAUGUUGGGUUAAGUCCCGCAACGAGCGCAACCCUUUUCCUUAUUUGCCAGCACUUUUAGGUGGGAACUCUAAGGAUACUGCCAGUGACAAACUGGAGGAAGGCGGGGACGACGUCAAGUCAUCAUGGCCCUUACGACCAGGGCUACACACGUGCUACAAUGGUCGGUACAAAGGGUUGCUACACAGCGAUGUGAUGCUAAUCUCAAAAAGCCGAUCGUAGUCCGGAUUGGAGUCUGCAACUCGACUCCAUGAAGUCGGAAUC